GCUACAAUGGAGUGGACAAAGGGCUNCAACAUAGUGAUAUGAANCUAAUCCCNNAAACCACUUCUCAGUUCAGAUUGGAGUCUNCAACUCGACUCCAUGAAGCUGGAAUCGCUAGUAAUCGUAGAUCAGCAACGCUACGGUGAAUACGUUCCCGGACCUUGCACACACCGCCCGUCAAGCCAUGGAAGCUGGGUGUACCUAAAGUCGGUAACCGUAAGGANCCGCCUAGGGUAAAACUAGUGACUGGGGCUAAGUCGUAACAAGUAACC
RNAcentral lists this ribosomal RNA (269 nucleotides) under unidentified soil organism R6-34. RNAcentral describes it as "partial 16S ribosomal RNA". It matches the Rfam family "Bacterial small subunit ribosomal RNA", at positions 1224 to 1500 of the family's 1533-position model. The record is from RNAcentral.